Molecule: ribosomal RNA, 452 nt
Filed under: uncultured bacterium
Lineage: Bacteria
Description: partial 16S ribosomal RNA
Rfam family: Bacterial small subunit ribosomal RNA
Source: RNAcentral
GAUGAACGCUGGCGGCGUGCCUAACACAUGCAAGUCGAGCGAUUUACUUCGGUCAAGCGCGGCGGACGGGUGAGUAACGCGUGGGUAACCUGCCCUGUACACACGGAUAACAUACCGAAAGGUAUGCUAAUACGAGAUAAUAUGCUUUUAUCGCAUGGUAGAAGUAUCAAAGCUUUUGCGGUACAGGAUGGACCCGCGUCUGAUUAGCUAGUUGGUGAGGUAACGGCUCACCAAGGCGACGAUCAGUAGCCGACCUGAGAGGGUGAUCGGCCACAUUGGAACUGAGACACGGUCCAAACUCCUACGGGAGGCAGCAGUGGGGAAUAUUGCACAAUGGGCGAAAGCCUGAUGCAGCAACGCCGCGUGAGCGAUGAAGGCCUUCGGGUCGUAAAGCUCUGUCCUCAAGGAAGAUAAUGACGGUACUUGAGGAGGAAGCCCCGGCUAACUACGUG